RNAcentral lists this long non-coding RNA (1469 nucleotides) under Numida meleagris (helmeted guineafowl). RNAcentral's name for it is "lncRNA (ENSNMEG00000003825.1)". The record is from RNAcentral. Lineage: Eukaryota; Metazoa; Chordata; Aves; Galliformes; Numididae.
GCGGUGACGGUGACAACAGCCCCACGAUGACCCCGAGGGACAACACCCGGCGCUUCGCGUCACCCGCGCCGAUGUCACCCUUCGAGCGUCACCCAUUUGUCACCCGUUUCAUUGUCACCAUUUUGUCACCCCUUCAGUGUCACCCUACUACCAUCACCCGCUUGUCACCCUUUCGGUGUCACCAUUUUGUCACCCUUUCAGUGUCACCCUUCUACCGUCACCCGCUUGUCACCCUUUCGGUGUCACCAUUUUGUCACCCGUUUCGCGACCACCAUUUUGUCACCAUUUUGGUGUCACCAUUUUGUCACCCUUUCCGUGUCACCCUUUCAGUGUCACCCAUUUGUCACCAUUUUGUCACCCCUUCCAUGUCACCCUUCUACCGUUACCCGCUUGUCACCCUUUCGGUGGCACCCUUUUCCUGUCACCCGUUUCAGUGUCACCAUUUUGUCACCCCUUCAGUGUCACCCUUCUACUGUCACCCGCUUGUCACCCUUUCGGUGUCACCAUUUUGUCACCCGUUUCGCGACCACCAUUUUGUCACCCUUUUGGUGUCACCAUUUUGUCAACGCUUCAGUGUCACCAUUUUACUGUCACCCAUUUGUCACCAUUUUGUCACCCAUUUGUCACCAUUCUACCAUCACCCGCUUGUCACCCUUUCAUUGUCACCCUUUCACUGUCACCCAUUUGUCACCAUUUUGUCACCUCUUCAGUGUCACCAUUCUACCAUCACCCAUUUGUCACCCACUUCGGUGUCACCAUCUUGUCACCCGUUUCAGUGUCACCAUUUUGUCACCCAUUCGUGUCACCAUUGUACCCUCACCCAUUUGUCACCCACUUUGGUGUCACCAUUUUCCCGUCACCCACUUCAGUGUCGCCAUCUUGUCACCAUUUUGUCACCCCUUCAGUGUCACCCUUUCAUUGUCACCGUUUCGGUGUCACCAUUUUGUCACCCAUCCGUGUCACUAUUCUACCAUCACCCAUUUGUCACCCACUUUGGUGUCACCAUUUUGUCACCCUUUCACUGUCACCAUUUCGGUGUCACCCACUUGUCACCAUUUUGUCACCCCUUCAGUGUCACCCACUUGUCACCAUUUUGUCACCCGUUCGUGUCACCCUUUCACUGUCACCGUUUCGGUGUCACCCAUUUGUCACCAUUUUGUCACCCAUUCGUGUCCCCCUUCUACCAUCACCCACCUGUCCCCCACUCCGCUGUCCCCAUUUUGUCACCCUCUCCCCGUCCCCCAUUUGUCACCGUUUUGUCACCGUCCCGUUGUCCCUCGCCGCCACCUGUGGAAGCCACACCCGGAGCUCAGCCAUCACCCCAAAUCCCCCAUUUCUCACCCCAAAAACGGUGUCCCCAUGUCGGAGCGGCACCCGGAGGACGGCGGUGUCACCUCUGUCCCCUCCACGGGGCCGUCCCCGUGUCCCUCUCCCUCCGGUUCUUACGUGGGGGGGCACCGGUGGCCACC